Molecule: long non-coding RNA, 727 nt
Organism: Centrocercus urophasianus (Greater sage-grouse)
Lineage: Eukaryota; Metazoa; Chordata; Aves; Galliformes; Phasianidae
Exons: 6
Source: RefSeq, a predicted model, not a curated record
CGAAGACUCCAGGAACCUUAGGGAAGAAGAAGAAAAUAUCCCCAGAUUCACCAUUCUAAAUGUGAUGUUCCCUGAAGCAGUCUGAAAGAGUCAAGGUUUGGAAGCUGGUAAAAUGAAGGAGAGGCAGUGGAAGGGACAACACUGCAGACUUUUCUGACACCGGACAACUGCACCACCAGAGCUGUGCCAGAGCAGGCAAAGAACAAGAGGUUAUGUAGGUUUCUUUGAGGCAUCUCUUCAAGGGUCAGUUUUGAAUGACAUUCUGCAAGUACACAGUAUCAAGGCCCUUUUUUGGCUGGGAAGUGGGACAUCUGUUGGAGUAACCUGUCAGUGGACAUCUCAAGUGGCCAGCUAACCUGCUGUGGAACGGAUCAUCCUGCAGAGGGGGAAUCAUCAGCUUACAAAUGAAAGUCACCCAAGAUGACAUCCCAAGUACUACUGGCAGACAUCAUACAUGCUGAAAUCAAAGAUGAAACUGUCAAACAGUAGGAGUGGGUGGGCUGGUUUAUAUCUUUCAGGUUACAUAAAAUAAAAAACAAUAUCAGCUAGUAAGGAAACAACUCCAGAAAUAGAGGGAGAAGACACCAGAUUCCUGAACGUAGUACAUGCCAAAGAUGCUGCAGGAAGAGACAGCAACAUCAUAUUAAAGAAAACGCUCUCAGAAGCUUUCAGUGGAAGUCGCCGCAGAGAGUGGAAAAAAGAAAAGAGAAAGAAAAACCGAAGUAUA